UAUUUCAUUUUUCUUAAUGAAGUAUUGUUAGAUUUUAAAAUAUUUUGUUAUGUAUAUAAUAUAAGGUUCUUGAUAAGAUUUGUGGUAUUGAGGUUAUUACAAAAUUAAGGUAUUGACUUUGUUGCUUCUAUAUUAAGGUUGUGUAGUAGCAACCUUAUCCAUGUAAUUUCUUUUAUUUUUAUUUUUGACAUCACCAAUAAAGAUUUAAGUUCUUUUUUCUAUAUGAUUGAUAUAUUCUUAAGUUAGAUGAAAAUAUUGCUAGUUGAUUUUUGUUUGUUUGAAUCAUAUACUUAAUUUGAGUUAAAAAAUGUACUAAGUUGCAUGUUAUUUUAUUAUAGAAAGAAGAUGCCUAUGUCACUUGUCUUUUAAAGGUAUUAUAAGACUUUCUUUGCAGUACUUGUGUAAGCUUGGAGUAAUUUGGUCAUAAAUUAAUUAAUGAUAUUUACUACAUCUGAUAAAUUUGACUUGGUAUUUAUUACAAAUAU
This 485-nucleotide long non-coding RNA is filed under the name Physcomitrium patens. RNAcentral's name for it is "long non-coding RNA (PPAT_LNC001216)". The record is from RNAcentral. Lineage: Eukaryota; Viridiplantae; Streptophyta; Bryopsida; Funariales; Funariaceae.